Molecule: unclassified non-coding RNA, 415 nt
Filed under: fungal sp.
Lineage: Eukaryota; Fungi
Description: partial internal transcribed spacer region
Rfam family: Eukaryotic small subunit ribosomal RNA (bases 1-46)
Source: RNAcentral
AAGUCGUAACAAGGUUUCCGUAGGUGAACCUGCGGAAGGAUCAUUAACACGUAUCCAAACGUUAAAACCCCCCCCGUGAACAUUCAUCCUGCUCUUGUAACCCGCGAAGCUUGCAAUCUCUGGUAAAUCAUAGCCCGGAAAGUAGUUUUGAUUCAGAGACCUCUGGCCCGUGAGAUUCUUUGAGACGUUACAAUUUUGAGCGGUAGUUCUAUAGGCCUUGUUUCCCCAAGCAGUCAGUGUCUGAGAACCAAGAUAUCCAUUGUUAACAGUUGUUCGGUUUUUUUACCCAAUGUAUUACAUUGAGCUUCACAUUAAACUGUGGGGUUGUAAGGGGGCAUGGGGACCCUUUGGCCUAGCUCCUGCCCGCGAGAUGCGGUCUACAAGAAUCGUGAAGCGUUAUCCUUGCACAAUCAAU